GACGGAGGAUGCAAGCGUUAUCCGGAAUUAUUGGGCGUAAAGAGCUCGUAGGCGGCUUGUCACGUCGGGUGUGAAAGCCCGGGGCUUAACCCCGGGUCUGCAUUCGAUACGGGCUAGCUAGAGUGUGGUAGGGGGGAUCGGAAUUCCUGGUGUAGCGGUGAAAUGCGCAGAUAUCAGGAGGAACACCGGUGGCGAAGGCGGAUCUCUGGGCCAUUACUGACGCUGAGGAGCGAAAGCGUGGGGAGCGAACAGG
RNAcentral lists this ribosomal RNA (253 nucleotides) under uncultured bacterium. RNAcentral describes it as "partial 16S ribosomal RNA". It matches the Rfam family "Bacterial small subunit ribosomal RNA", at positions 524 to 776 of the family's 1533-position model. The record is from RNAcentral.